AUUGAACGCUGGCGGCAGGCCUAACACAUGCAAGUCGAGCGAGCGGCGGACGGGUGAGUAAUAUAUCGGGAUCUGCCCGAUAGCGGGGGAUAACUACUGGAAACGGUGGCUAAUACCGCAUACUAUUGGAUGAACCCAUAUGGGAUUAGCUAGUAGGUGGGGUAAAGGCUCACCACGGCUACGAUCCCUAGCUGGUCUGAGAGGAUGACCAGCCACACUGGGACUGAGACACGGCCCAGACUCCUACGGGAGGCAGCAGUGGGGAAUAUUGGACAAUGGGCGCAAGCCUGAUCCAGCCAUGCCGCGUGUAUGAAGAAGGCCUUCGGGUUGUAAAGUACUUUUAGCGGGGAAGCGGUACCCGCAGAAGAAGCACCGGCUAACUCCGUGCCAGCAGCCGCGGUAAUUC
Molecule: ribosomal RNA, 406 nt
Filed under: uncultured bacterium
Lineage: Bacteria
Description: partial 16S ribosomal RNA
Rfam family: Bacterial small subunit ribosomal RNA
Source: RNAcentral